GAUUUUUGGUGUUAAUAUAAACGCCAUUGUGUUUUUUAUUUCAAAUGUCAAUUGUUCACUGGUGGCAUAUAGGGAAACAAUUGACUUCUGUAUAUACGAGAAGAUUUUAAAAAUCAAAUAUAUUACUGAUUACAGCUGGAUUUCAGGAUAUUAACAGAAUUGUGGCUUUUUAACACCAUAUGAUGCAUUUGACAUUUUUCCCUACCCACUUUCAACACAGCUGAACAGCCACAGGCCUCUCCCAGACUACCGAAGGAAGAUCACCGCAGAGCGAAACUGAGAAUGUGCCCUGAGAACAGGCACCUCCACAAGGAGAGAGAAAAGCCCAGGAGAGGCAGAGCCUGUGUUACCAGCAAACAAAUCACUCCUUCUCUCUUGGGCAGGGGCAACGUCAGCGGCUGAGAGAGUCUAGGAACUUCUACUCAAGCAGAGCUGCCCAUCAAGGAGAUCUGAGACUGACGAAGGGGAAUUCUCUCAAACAUUCUCCACUAGUCACUCCAACUUGAAAAUACUUAAAACAUUAAGACAGACAGUGAAAGUUAAAGGUGGCGUCAAAAACGUACUUUACCGCGUGCAUGUGCUUAUGUGUGUGCAUAUGCGUGCAUAUCCCUUCCAUCCCAUUCAUCAAACUUCUGUAAAAGCAGUCCUAUUAAAAUAUUGUCACCUAAGGCCUGGGCUUCCUACAUACAUGAUCCUGAUGGACAGCAAAAUCUGUGGUAUGACAAAUGGCAUCUGACAUCCAGGAAGGAACAUAUCCUAAAAAAUAAGUCCAUAUCUCUCAUCCAUCUCUAAUUUCAAGGGACAGGCUUUCGUGCAAGAUCUGUAUCUGCCUCUGCCUUCCACAAACACCAAGUCUUAGAUUUCUGGCUCUAUAAUCAACUUGGCUGAAACACAGCCACAACACGAUUUGAGUUAAAUUUUGUUCCCAUAAAGAACUCUGACAUACUGCUUGUCUGAAAGUGAUUUCUAAGGAGAAAAAUAUAGGUAAGUAAGCUAUCAAUCAAAGAAAAUAUAUUUUCCUAGUUUUAAGAAGUGUGCUUAAAGAAUUCAUAUUUUUGCAUUUGUAUAUAAUAUCUGUCAAUGGAUUUGAGCUAUUUCAGGAGAAUAUUUAUAAUAGACAUUAACUAUUUAGGACCUUUCUUCUGAGGAGUUCAAAGCACAGUACUGUGUAUUAGCCAGGGUUCUCCAGAGAGACAGAAUGAGUAGGAGAGAUAGGUAGAUAGAUGAGGGAAUUUAUUAGGGAAUUUGGCUCACAUGAUUAUGGAGGCUGAGAAGUCCCAUGACAGGCCUGCUGCAAGCUGGUGACAAUGGGAUGGUGACAGUGUGGCUCAGUCCUAGUUCAAAACCUCAGAAGGGGGGACACAGAUGAUGUAAUUCUUAGUUCAAUGACAAAGGCCUGAGUGAGACAUGGGGAGGGGUGGGCACUGGCAUAGUCCUGGAAUCCAAAGGCCAGAGAGCCUGGAGUUCUGAUGUCCAAAAGCAGGAGAAGAGCAUCCCAGCUCCAGGAGGGUGAAAGAGAAAGGAAAUCUCUUUUCCUCUUCCUUAUCUGUUCUAUCUGGGCCUUCAUCCAAAUGGAU
Molecule: long non-coding RNA, 1577 nt
Filed under: Macaca mulatta (Rhesus monkey)
Lineage: Eukaryota; Metazoa; Chordata; Mammalia; Primates; Cercopithecidae
Description: lncRNA (ENSMMUG00000060193.1)
Source: RNAcentral